GGAGUUGUGGUGUAGUUGGUUAUCACGUCAGUCUUACACACUGAAGGUCUCCGGUUCGAACCCGGGCAACGCCA
This is a transfer RNA of Beta vulgaris subsp. vulgaris (sugar beet), 74 nucleotides long. It matches the Rfam family "tRNA". From Rfam's summary of the family: Transfer RNA (tRNA) molecules are approximately 80 nucleotides in length. Their secondary structure includes four short double-helical elements and three loops (D, anti-codon, and T loops). Lineage: Eukaryota; Viridiplantae; Streptophyta; Magnoliopsida; Caryophyllales; Amaranthaceae. The record is from Rfam.